UAUAUCUAGUACACACACAACGUCGCGUCUGCCAGCCGGCUGAUUUGCCAAACUUAUUUAAAAAUUGGUCAAAUACAAAACAUUCGCCAUAUCCUGAAUAGUGUGGCCAGUUGAUUUGUCGAAUGCCGAACUAUCGUGUGCCCGAUCUCGAAUCAUUUUCCGAAUCCCAAUAGUGGAGUCGUACCAUAA
Long non-coding RNA from Maniola jurtina (meadow brown), 189 nucleotides. RefSeq lists it as uncharacterized. NCBI's taxonomy places the organism in Eukaryota, Metazoa, Arthropoda, Insecta, Lepidoptera, Nymphalidae. The record is from RefSeq and is a predicted model, not a curated record. The transcript is spliced from 3 exons.